Molecule: long non-coding RNA, 1589 nt
Filed under: Panax ginseng (ginseng)
Lineage: Eukaryota; Viridiplantae; Streptophyta; Magnoliopsida; Apiales; Araliaceae
Description: long non-coding RNA (PGIN_LNC013051)
Source: RNAcentral
GUCAAUCUGUGCACGUCUCACAGUCACAACUCACAACUCAAGUCUCAGACCUUAUGUCCUUAACGGCUAACGCUACUCUCGUCUCUGAUCUCUCUCUCUCUCAGAGUCUCAGUGACUCAGUAUCAGAACUUAUCGAAGAGGAGUAGAGGACUCCACUCUCAGUCUCAAUCUCAGAUCUUACGCGAGUCGGCGUCGCUAGUCUCAGAUCUCUCUCAGAUUAGAUCUGAUCUAGUGAUCUCUCUCAUCUCAAGUCUAAAGUCUAGUCGUCUUCUCAGAGUCAGAGUCUCAGAUCUCGAACCGACGAACUCUCAGUCUCAGAUCUCGACGCCGGCCGCAGCUUUCCAUUUGAUUCAGGUAAUUUGUUAUUUACCGUAACUCAGUUUAGUGCAUGAAUGAUGAGUAUUGAGUACAUUUUUGUGUAUGUAUUUAUUUUUGUGUAAUUGUGUCUGUGCAUGUGUAAUUUCUUUCUUUUUGAGGUUUUAAAAAGAAAUUAGGAAAAAGAAAUUAGAAAUUAUACUUUUGAGUUUUGAGUUUUGGGAAUAUCUUACUGUUUUUCUUCUGAGUUUUGGGAAUACCUUUUGCUUUUUUGCAGUUACUUUUUUGCAGUGACUUUUUUUUUGCAGUGAACAAAUUGCUUAGUUUAUCAGGCAACAUGUACAACAACUUGCACUCUUGUAGUGAACAAACAACUUGCUUAGUUUAUCAAACAACAUGCUUAGUUUUCUUGUUUAACUUGCAGUGAACAAACAACUUGCUUAGUUUAUCAAACAACAUGCUUAGUUUGAAGUGAACAAAUUGCAAUGAUCAAAUUAAUUCCUUUUUUGUUUAUCAGGCAAGUGGCAACAUGCUAAUUUUCUUGUUGGCUCAAAGCAAGCAUGGAAUUGGAUGGCCAGUAUGGUUUUUUGUUUAUCAGGCAACAUGCUAAUUUUCUUGUUGGCUCAAAGCAAGCAUGGAAUUGGUCCAAUUGGAAGGCAACAGCAACAACUAGCAAGUGGUAGCAACAGCAGCAAAGUGGUAGCAACAGCCAACAGCAGCAAGCUUAAUUGUUGGCAGUAUGGUUUAAAUAAAGUAUGGUUUUUUGUUUAUCAGGCAACAACAACAACUAGCAAGUGGUAGCAACAGCAGCAACUAGCAACUAGCAAGUGGAUUAUGUUGUUAUGGAACUGUUAACUAAUAACUAGUAACUGUGUUGUUAUGGAACUGUUAUCUAUUAACUGUGUUGUUUAUGGGACUGUUAACUAGUAAAUGCGUUGUUUAUGGAACUGUUUAACUAGUAACUGUGUUGUUUAUGGAACUGUUAAUGGAUUGUAGGAAAUGUGUUUGUUGUUUAUGGAUUGUAGGAAUUAAACUGUGUUGCUGAUAUUUCUUUUUAAUUCGGUUAUUAACCGAAUAACCGAAUAUCCUAUUCGGUUAUUCAGUUAUUCGGUUAUUCGGUUAGUGCAAAAUUCGGUUACUUGUUCGGAUAGUUAAAACAGUGCUUUUUCGGAUACCGGUUAUAACCGAAUUACUGGUUCAGUUCGGUUAUUAACCGAAUGCUCAGUCCUACUUGAGAGCUUCCAUGAUAACUUCACUUUGUUACCCAACCUAAG